This 395-nucleotide ribosomal RNA is filed under the name uncultured bacterium. Its description in RNAcentral is "bacterial SSU rRNA". It matches the Rfam family "Bacterial small subunit ribosomal RNA", at positions 28 to 428 of the family's 1533-position model. The record is from RNAcentral.
GACGAACGCUGGCGGCGUGCUUAACACAUGCAAGUCGAGCGGUAAGGCCCUUUCGGGGGUACACGAGCGGCGAACGGGUGAGUAACACGUGGGUGACCUGCCCUCAGCUCUGGGAUAAGCCUGGGAAACCGGGUCUAAUACCGGAUAUGACCUCAUGACGCAUGUUGUGGGGUGGAAAGCCUUGUGCGGCUGAGGAUGGGCCCGCGGCCUAUCAGCUUGUUGGUGGGGUGAUGGCCUACCAAGGCGACGACGGGUAGCCGGCCUGAGAGGGCGACCGGCCACACUGGGACUGAGACACGGCCCAGACUCCUACGGGAGGCAGCAGUGGGGAAUCUUGCGCAAUGGGCGAAAGCCUGACGCAGCGACGCCGCGUGAGGGAUGACGGCCUGGUGUAA